Molecule: long non-coding RNA, 417 nt
Filed under: Notechis scutatus (mainland tiger snake)
Lineage: Eukaryota; Metazoa; Chordata; Lepidosauria; Squamata; Elapidae
Description: lncRNA (ENSNSUG00000020599.1)
Source: RNAcentral
AAAUUCCAUUCUCCACAUUCAUAACAGAGAAAAGAAAUCUGAUCCCUCGUCCUGCAAGAAGAGGUGACGGCUCAGAAAUCGAGCAAGCCUGGCCAGAAUUCAAGGCUGCAGAAUCUCUUCCCCUCCAGAGGUGGCUGAACUACAAUUCCCAGCAGCCAACUGCAAGCAGUAGAGGAUUCUGGGAUUGUACAUCUGGAGGGCCACUGGUUGCAGCUGCUUCCCUGGAUUAUUAUUUUUUUGCUGUAAUAUUUUUGGAAUCUUUUUGCAAGUAUCUUUGGCUUCAGCCUUUUACCUCCUGGAUGCAGUAAGGUUGGAGCGGAGCAUUAUGGAUAGAAAGCUGAUAGAUUUAAACUUAGUUCGGGAAAGCUGCAGGUAACACAAAUUGUUCCUUGUGAAUAAAAGCUAAUGUAGUUGACA